GACGCGACAUCUGGUGGCCCAUACAGU
RNAcentral lists this non-coding RNA (27 nucleotides) under Mus musculus (house mouse). Lineage: Eukaryota; Metazoa; Chordata; Mammalia; Rodentia; Muridae. The record is from RNAcentral.